GCGGAUGUAGCCAAGUGGAUGAAGGCAGUG
Molecule: transfer RNA, 30 nt
Filed under: Ficaria verna
Lineage: Eukaryota; Viridiplantae; Streptophyta; Magnoliopsida; Ranunculales; Ranunculaceae
Also listed under: 1 other name
Description: partial tRNA-His
Source: RNAcentral